GCCGUGGCUCAGUGGUAGAGCAUCUGUUUGGCAUACUGAAUGGUCCCAGGUUCAGUCCCCGGCAUCUCCA
Molecule: transfer RNA, 70 nt
Filed under: Sphaerodactylus townsendi
Lineage: Eukaryota; Metazoa; Chordata; Lepidosauria; Squamata; Sphaerodactylidae
Description: tRNA-Ala
Rfam family: tRNA
About the family: Transfer RNA (tRNA) molecules are approximately 80 nucleotides in length. Their secondary structure includes four short double-helical elements and three loops (D, anti-codon, and T loops).
Source: RNAcentral